UAUGACGCAUGUUAUGAUUCUUCCAAAUGAAUAUGUGCUUUAAGCUCUUAUAAUCAGUAUAAAUCUUAAAAGUUUUCUCAUACAGGUAGUGACACCAAGUCUUCAAGCCGUGGAUAAUGGCGGUAAGUUCCAAGUCGUGGAUGAAUAAUUUUUCUUAUGACUCCUCAACUCUCUGUACUUAUUAGCUAUAACCUUCUCAUGCUACAUCAUAACAUAACUCAACCCCAAAU
RNAcentral lists this long non-coding RNA (230 nucleotides) under Carica papaya (papaya). RNAcentral describes it as "long non-coding RNA (CPAP_LNC007503)". The record is from RNAcentral. Lineage: Eukaryota; Viridiplantae; Streptophyta; Magnoliopsida; Brassicales; Caricaceae.